GAUGAAGAACGCAGCGAACUGCGAUAAGUAAUGUGAAUUGCAGAAUUCAGUGAAUCAUCGAGUCUUUGAACGCACAUUGCGCCCCCUGGCAUUCCGGGGGGCAUGCCUGUCCGAGCGUCAUUGCUGCCCUUCAAGCCCGGCUUGUGUGUUGGGUCGUCGUCCCCCCCGGGGGACGGGCCCGAAAGGCAGCGGCGGCACCGCGUCCGGUCCUCGAGCGUAUGGGGCUUUGUCACCCGCUCGAUUAGGGCCGGCCGGGCGCCAGCCGGCGUCUCCAACCUUUUAUUUUACCAGGUUGACCUCGGAUCAGGUAGGGAUACCCGCUGAACUUAAGCAUAUCAUAAGCGGAGGA
Molecule: unclassified non-coding RNA, 349 nt
Filed under: soil metagenome
Description: partial contains 5.8S ribosomal RNA, internal transcribed spacer 2, and large subunit ribosomal RNA
Rfam family: 5.8S ribosomal RNA (bases 1-120)
Source: RNAcentral